AUCUGCGAGGACAAAGAGGAGGCCUCCCCGUUUGGCCGUCCUCUUGGCUACACGGCCCGCCCCUCCCCUUUUGUGCUUCUCGCGAAGUCUUCACCUACAUUAGGCACCUCUCAAACUUGAACUCUUCCCACUCUCCUCAUCCUCCAUUCCCCAAUCUGCGGCUCCUCAACGGUUUCAGGCACCGUCCAGCCCCAGGGCCUUCCUUCUGCACCGAUACCUGCACGGCUUCUUCCCUCACUUCCUUCACCUCUGCGUUGAGAUGUCACUUGCUUAGAGGCCUUCCCACUGAAGUUCCACGAUCUAGCCACUAACUUUCUUGGUGCCUCCACCGUCCCCAACCAGCUUGGGACAGCAAAGACGUGGACUCUUUGAUCUGCUACCCUCCCUCCCUGCCUCAAAUGCUGACCGGUGCAACCACUGACAUUAGCUAAAUGAAGGAAUGACCUGA
Homo sapiens (human) is the source of this 448-nucleotide long non-coding RNA. RefSeq lists it as uncharacterized. The record is from RefSeq and is a predicted model, not a curated record. NCBI's taxonomy places the organism in Eukaryota, Metazoa, Chordata, Mammalia, Primates, Hominidae. The transcript has 2 exons.